RNAcentral lists this ribosomal RNA (517 nucleotides) under uncultured Streptomyces sp. RNAcentral describes it as "bacterial SSU rRNA". It matches the Rfam family "Bacterial small subunit ribosomal RNA", at positions 144 to 675 of the family's 1533-position model. Lineage: Bacteria; Bacillati; Actinomycetota; Actinomycetes; Kitasatosporales; Streptomycetaceae. The record is from RNAcentral.
CAAGCCCUGGAAACGGGGUCUAAUACCGGAUAUGACUGUCCAUCGCAUGGUGGAUGGUGUAAAGCUCCGGCGGCGCAGGAUGAGCCCGCGGCCUAUCAGCUUGUUGGUGAGGUAGUGGCUCACCAAGGCGAUGACGGGUAGCCGGCCUGAGAGGGCGACCGGCCACACUGGGACUGAGACACGGCCCAGACUCCUACGGGAGGCAGCAGUGGGGAAUAUUGCACAAUGGGCGAAAGCCUGAUGCAGCGACGCCGCGUGAGGGAUGACGGCCUUCGGGUUGUAAACCUCUUUCAGCAGGGAAGAAGCGAAAGUGACGGUACCUGCAGAAGAAGCGCCGGCUAACUACGUGCCAGCAGCCGCGGUAAUACGUAGGGCGCAAGCGUUGUCCGGAAUUAUUGGGCGUAAAGAGCUCGUAGGCGGCUUGUCACGUCGGUUGUGAAAGCCCGGGGCUUAACCCCGGGUCUGCAGUCGAUACGGGCAAGCUAGAGUUCGGUAGGGGAGAUCGGAAUUCCUGGUG